This 361-nucleotide ribosomal RNA is filed under the name Klebsiella pneumoniae. Its description in RNAcentral is "bacterial SSU rRNA". It matches the Rfam family "Bacterial small subunit ribosomal RNA", at positions 617 to 977 of the family's 1533-position model. The record is from RNAcentral. Lineage: Bacteria; Pseudomonadati; Pseudomonadota; Gammaproteobacteria; Enterobacterales; Enterobacteriaceae.
GGAACUGCAUUCGAAACUGGCAGGCUAGAGUCUUGUAGAGGGGGGUAGAAUUCCAGGUGUAGCGGUGAAAUGCGUAGAGAUCUGGAGGAAUACCGGUGGCGAAGGCGGCCCCCUGGACAAAGACUGACGCUCAGGUGCGAAAGCGUGGGGAGCAAACAGGAUUAGAUACCCUGGUAGUCCACGCCGUAAACGAUGUCGAUUUGGAGGUUGUGCCCUUGAGGCGUGGCUUCCGGAGCUAACGCGUUAAAUCGACCGCCUGGGGAGUACGGCCGCAAGGUUAAAACUCAAAUGAAUUGACGGGGGCCCGCACAAGCGGUGGAGCAUGUGGUUUAAUUCGAUGCAACGCGAAGAACCUUACCUG